UAUUGUGAAAGGCAAACCAAUUGAAAGAUUGGGACGCAAAGCCUCCGGUCUAAGGGUCGUUUGUACCUAUGAUAGCGGGGAUACCGCA
This is a non-coding RNA of Shewanella sp. MR-7, 88 nucleotides long. The record is from Rfam. NCBI's taxonomy places the organism in Bacteria, Pseudomonadati, Pseudomonadota, Gammaproteobacteria, Alteromonadales, Shewanellaceae.